AACGCAAAUUGCACUCUCUGGUAUUCCGGAGAGUAUGCCUAUUUGAGGGUCGGUUUAAAUAAAUAUCGGGGUGUUCUUGUCGAACACGUCGGAAUUGGGUUAUCUUGAACUUUGUUUAAGAGGCCUAAAAUUUAUCAUAACUUCGGUAUGAUUACGUACUAAAUUUUGUCGUUUGAAAUACCGAAACAUACUAGAUGUAACUAUUAUUGUAAUGGUAUUACGUCUAUAAUUUUCGAAUUUCGACCUCAAAUUAGGUAAGAAUACCCGCUGAACUUAA
RNAcentral lists this unclassified non-coding RNA (277 nucleotides) under uncultured Glomerales. RNAcentral describes it as "sequence contains 5.8S rRNA gene, ITS2, 28S rRNA gene". Lineage: Eukaryota; Fungi; Glomeromycota; Glomeromycetes; Glomerales; Glomeraceae. The record is from RNAcentral.